CAUAGGUUAAUGAGGCGAACCGGGGGAACUGAAACAUCUAAGUACCCCGAGGAAAAGAAAUCAACCGAGAUUCCCCCAGUAGCGGCGAGCGAACGGGGAGGAGCCCAGAGCCUGAAUCAGUGUGUGUGUUAGUGGAAGCGUCUGGAAAGGCGCGCGAUACAGGGUGACAGCCCCGUACACAAAAAUGCACAUAUUGUGAGCUCGAUGAGUAGGGCGGGACACGUGGUAUCCUGUCUGAAUAUGGGGGGACCAUCCUCCAAGGCUAAAUACUCCUGACUGACCGAUAGUGAACCAGUACCGUGAGGGAAAGGCGAAAAGAACCCCGGCGAGGGGAGUGAAAAAGAACCUGAAACCGUGUACGUACAAGCAGUGGGAGCCUCUUAAUGGGGUGACUGCGUACCUUUUGUAUAAUGGGUCAGCGACUUAUAUUCUGUAGCAAGGUUAACCGAAUAGGGGAGCCGAAGGGAAACCGAGUCUUAACUGGGCGUUAAGUUGCAGGGUAUAGACCCGAAACCCGGUGAUCUAGCCAUGGGCAGGUUGAAGGUUGGGUAACACUAACUGGAGGACCGAACCGACUAAUGUUGAAAAAUUAGCGGAUGACUUGUGGCUGGGGGUGAAAGGCCAAUCAAACCGGGAGAUAGCUGGUUCUCCCCGAAAGCUAUUUAGGUAGCGCCUCGUGAAUUCAUCUCCGGGGGUAGAGCACUGUUUCGGCAAGGGGGUCAUCCCGACUUACCAACCCGAUGCAAACUGCGAAUACCGGAGAAUGUUAUCACGGGAGACACACGGCGGGUGCUAACGUCCGUCGUGAAGAGGGAAACAACCCAGACCGCCAGCUAAGGUCCCAAAGUCAUGGUUAAGUGGGAAACGAUGUGGGAAGGCCCAGACAGCCAGGAUGUUGGCUUAGAAGCAGCCAUCAUUUAAAGAAAGCGUAAUAGCUCACUGGUCGAGUCGGCCUGCGCGGAAGAUGUAACGGGGCUAAACCAUGCACCGAAGCUGCGGCAGCGACACUAUGUGUUGUUGGGUAGGGGAGCGUUCUGUAAGCCUGUGAAGGUGUACUGUGAGGUAUGCUGGAGGUAUCAGAAGUGCGAAUGCUGACAUAAGUAACGAUAAAGCGGGUGAAAAGCCCGCUCGCCGGAAGACCAAGGGUUCCUGUCCAACGUUAAUCGGGGCAGGGUGAGUCGACCCCUAAGGCGAGGCCGAAAGGCGUAGUCGAUGGGAAACAGGUUAAUAUUCCUGUACUUGGUGUUACUGCGAAGGGGGGACGGAGAAGGCUAUGUUGGCCGGGCGACGGUUGUCCCGGUUUAAGCGUGUAGGCUGGUUUUCCAGGCAAAUCCGGAAAAUCAAGGCUGAGGCGUGAUGACGAGGCACUACGGUGCUGAAGCGACAAAUGCCCUGCUUCCAGGAAAAGCCUCUAAGCAUCAGGUAACAUCAAAUCGUACCCCAAACCGACACAGGUGGUCAGGUAGAGAAUACCAAGGCGCUUGAGAGAACUCGGGUGAAGGAACUAGGCAAAAUGGUGCCGUAACUUCGGGAGAAGGCACGCUGAUAUGUAGGUGAAGCGACUUGCUCGUGGAGCUGAAAUCAGUCGAAGAUACCAGCUGGCUGCAACUGUUUAUUAAAAACACAGCACUGUGCAAACACGAAAGUGGACGUAUACGGUGUGACGCCUGCCCGGUGCCGGAAGGUUAAUUGAUGGGGUUAGCGGUAACGCGAAGCUCUUGAUCGAAGCCCCGGUAAACGGCGGCCGUAACUAUAACGGUCCUAAGGUAGCGAAAUUCCUUGUCGGGUAAGUUCCGACCUGCACGAAUGGCGUAAUGAUGGCCAGGCUGUCUCCACCCGAGACUCAGUGAAAUUGAACUCGCUGUGAAGAUGCAGUGUACCCGCGGCAAGACGGAAAGACCCCGUGAACCUUUACUAUAGCUUGACACUGAACAUUGAGCCUUGAUGUGUAGGAUAGGUGGGAGGCUUUGAAGUGUGGACGCCAGUCUGCAUGGAGCCGACCUUGAAAUACCACCCUUUAAUGUUUGAUGUUCUAACGUGGGCCCCUUACCGGGGUUGCGGACAGUGUCUGGUGGGUAGUUUGACUGGGGCGGUCUCCUCCUAAAGAGUAACGGAGGAGCACGAAGGUUGGCUAAUCCUGGUCGGACAUCAGGAGGUUAGUGCAAUGGCAUAAGCCAGCUUGACUGCGAGCGUGACGGCGCGAGCAGGUGCGAAAGCAGGUCAUAGUGAUCCGGUGGUUCUGAAUGGAAGGGCCAUCGCUCAACGGAUAAAAGGUACUCCGGGGAUAACAGGCUGAUACCGCCCAAGAGUUCAUAUCGACGGCGGUGUUUGGCACCUCGAUGUCGGCUCAUCACAUCCUGGGGCUGAAGUAGGUCCCAAGGGUAUGGCUGUUCGCCAUUUAAAGUGGUACGCGAGCUGGGUUUAGAACGUCGUGAGACAGUUCGGUCCCUAUCUGCCGUGGGCGCUGGAGAACUGAGGGGGGCUGCUCCUAGUACGAGAGGACCGGAGUGGACGCAUCACUGGUGUUCGGGUUGUCAUGCCAAUGGCACUGCCCGGUAGCUAAAUGCGGAAGAGAUAAGUGCUGAAAGCAUCUAAGCACGAAACUUGCCCCGAGAUGAGUUCUCCCUGACUCCUUGAGAGUCCUGAAGGAACGUUGAAGACGACGACGUUGAUAGGCCGGGUGUGUAAGCGCAGCGAUGCGUUGAGCUAACCGGUAC
RNAcentral lists this ribosomal RNA (2717 nucleotides) under Escherichia coli. RNAcentral describes it as "partial 23S ribosomal RNA". It matches the Rfam family "Bacterial large subunit ribosomal RNA". The record is from RNAcentral. Lineage: Bacteria; Pseudomonadati; Pseudomonadota; Gammaproteobacteria; Enterobacterales; Enterobacteriaceae.